UGGGGGAUAUUGCACAAUGGGCGAAAGCCUGAUGCAGCGACGCCGCGUGGGGGAUGAAGGCCUUCGGGUUGUAAACUUCUUUUGCUCUGAUCAAGGCGCACCAUGGGGUGUGUUGAGUGUAGGGGUUGAUUAGCGCCGGCUAACUACGUGCCAGCAGCCGCGGUAAUACGUAGGGCGCGAGCGUUGUCCGGAAUUAUUGGGCGUAAAGGGCUUGUAGGUGGCUGGUUGCGUCUGUCGUGAAAGCUCAUGGCUUAACUGUGGGUUUGCGGUGGGUACGGGCUGGCUUGAGUGCAGUAGGGGAGGCUGGAAUUCCUGGUGUAGCGGUGGAAUGCGCAGAUAUCAGGAGGAAUACCGGUGGCGAAGGCGGGUCUCUGGGCUGUUACUGACACUGAGGAGCGAAAGCAUGGGGAGCGAACAGG
RNAcentral lists this ribosomal RNA (419 nucleotides) under bacterium. RNAcentral describes it as "partial 16S ribosomal RNA". It matches the Rfam family "Bacterial small subunit ribosomal RNA", at positions 355 to 776 of the family's 1533-position model. The record is from RNAcentral.